This 431-nucleotide ribosomal RNA is filed under the name uncultured bacterium. RNAcentral describes it as "partial 16S ribosomal RNA". It matches the Rfam family "Bacterial small subunit ribosomal RNA", at positions 29 to 506 of the family's 1533-position model. The record is from RNAcentral.
AACGAACGCUGGCGGCAUGCCUAACACAUGAAAGUGAACCAGACCCUCCGGGCCUGGUGGCGCAGGGGGGGUUACGCCGUGGAACCUGGCCCUAGGGUUCGGAUAACCUCCCGAAAGGGGGUCUAAUUACGGGUAAUGGUCUUCGACCAAAAGUUUAUCGCCUUUGGAUGGGGCCGCGUUGGAUUUGCUAGGUGGGAGGGUAAAAGCCUAACAAGGCGACGAUCCAUAGGUGGGCGGGGAGGAUGCUCAGCCACACUGGGACUGAGACACGGCCCAGACUCCUACGGGAGGCAGCAGUGGGGAAUAUUGGACAAGGGGCGAAAGCCUGAACCAGCAAGGCCGCGUGAGUGAAGAAGGCCUUAGGGUUGUAAAGCUCUUUUACCCGGGAUGAUAAUGACAGUACCGGGAGAAUAAACCCCGGCUAACCCCGU